UGGGGGAUUUUGCACAAUGGGCGCAAGCCUGACGCAGCGACGCCGCGUGAGGGAUGAAGGUUUUCGGAUCGUAAACCUCUGUCAGAAGGGAAGAAACCGCACUGUGCUAAUCAGCAGUGCCUUGACGGUACCUUCAAAGGAAGCACCGGCUAACUCCGUGCCAGCAGCCGCGGUAAUACGGAGGGUGCAAGCGUUAAUCGGAAUUACUGGGCGUAAAGCGCACGUAGGCUGCUUUGUAAGUCAGGGGUGAAAUCCCACGGCUCAACCGUGGAACUGCCUUUGAUACUGCUUAGCUUGAAUCCGGGAGAGGGUGGCGGAAUUCCAGGUGUAGGAGUGAAAUCCGUAGAUAUCUGGAGGAACAUCAGUGGCGAAGGCGGCCACCUGGACCGGUAUUGACGCUGAGGUGCGAAAGCGUGGGGAGCAAACAGG
This 429-nucleotide ribosomal RNA is filed under the name Fusobacteriota bacterium. RNAcentral's name for it is "Fusobacteria bacterium partial 16S ribosomal RNA". It matches the Rfam family "Bacterial small subunit ribosomal RNA", at positions 355 to 776 of the family's 1533-position model. Lineage: Bacteria; Fusobacteriati; Fusobacteriota. The record is from RNAcentral.